UUUGGCUCUGUGAUGAAGCACUACGGAUGUAAAAUCAUUUCUGUCCGAGAUGCGCAUAACUCCCCGUGUGGAUACUUCCGUUGCCUUCCUUCUGAGGCCCAU
RNAcentral lists this small nucleolar RNA (102 nucleotides) under Coprinopsis cinerea okayama7#130. Its description in RNAcentral is "Small nucleolar RNA Z13/snr52". It matches the Rfam family "Small nucleolar RNA Z13/snr52". Rfam says of the family: Z13 or snr52 is a member of the C/D class of snoRNA which contain the C (UGAUGA) and D (CUGA) box motifs. The record is from Rfam by way of RNAcentral. Lineage: Eukaryota; Fungi; Basidiomycota; Agaricomycetes; Agaricales; Psathyrellaceae.